CCUACGGGCGGCUGCAGUGGGGAAUUUUGGACAAUGGGGGCAACCCUGAUCCAGCCAUUCCGCGUGAGUGAAGAAGGCCUUCGGGUUGUAAAGCUCUUUCGCAUGGGAAGAAAACUUACUCAAUAACACUGGGUGAGGCUGACGGUACCUUGAUAAGAAGCACCGGCUAACUACGUGCCAGCAGCCGCGGUAAUACGUAGGGUGCGAGCGGUAGUAGGAAGUACUGGGCGUAAAGCGUGCGUCAGCGGUGAAAUCCCCGGGCUCAACCUGGGAACUGCGUUUGAAACUACAAGGCUAGAGUAUGGCAGAGGGGGGUAGAAUUCCACGUGUAGCAGUGAAAUGCGUAGAGAUGUGGAGGAAUACCGAUGGCGAAGGCAGCCCCCUGGGUCAAUACUGACGCUCAUGCACGAAAGCGUGGGGAGCAAACAGGAUUAGAUACCCCAGUAGUC
RNAcentral lists this ribosomal RNA (449 nucleotides) under uncultured bacterium. Its description in RNAcentral is "partial 16S ribosomal RNA". It matches the Rfam family "Bacterial small subunit ribosomal RNA", at positions 338 to 795 of the family's 1533-position model. The record is from RNAcentral.